Molecule: non-coding RNA, 72 nt
Organism: Podarcis lilfordi (Lilford's wall lizard)
Lineage: Eukaryota; Metazoa; Chordata; Lepidosauria; Squamata; Lacertidae
Source: the annotation of a GenBank genome assembly
GUCUGUGGCGCAAUGGGUCCGUGCGUCUGGCUGUUAACCAGAAGGUUUGUGGUUGAAGCCCACCAAGGGAUG